AACAAACGCUGGCGGCGUGCCUAACACAUGCAAGUCGAACGCGAAAAGCAGUGAUGCUGAGUAGAGUGGCGCACGGGUGAGUAACACGUAACUGACUUGUCUCCGAUAUCGGGAUAACCACUCGAAAGGGUGGCUAAUACCGGGUAAGCCCACGCCCUUGGGGGUGCGGGAAAAGGAUUGGGACCUGAAUAAGGCCAAUCGAUGGGAGAGAGGGUUGCGGCCCAUCAGCUAGUUGGCGGGGUAACGGGCCCACCAAGGCGAAGACGGGUAGCUGGUCUGAGAGGAUGAUCAGCCACACUGGAACUGAGACGCGGUCCAGACUCCUACGGGAGGCAGCAGUGGGGAAUCUUGCGCAAUGGGCGAAAGCCUGACGCAGCAACGCCGCGUGGGUGAUGAAGGUCUUCGGAUCGUAAAGCCCUGUCGGAGGGGAAGAUGUGUUUCAUUUUGAAUAGAGAUGAGAUGUGACGGUACCCUUAAAGGAAGCACCGGCUAACUCUGUGCC
This 502-nucleotide ribosomal RNA is filed under the name uncultured bacterium. RNAcentral's name for it is "bacterial SSU rRNA". It matches the Rfam family "Bacterial small subunit ribosomal RNA", at positions 29 to 509 of the family's 1533-position model. The record is from RNAcentral.